RNAcentral lists this long non-coding RNA (642 nucleotides) under Equus caballus (horse). RNAcentral's name for it is "lncRNA (ENSECAG00000054735.1)". The record is from RNAcentral. Lineage: Eukaryota; Metazoa; Chordata; Mammalia; Perissodactyla; Equidae.
GCCAGGGCCGAGACACAUCCGCACCAGCCCGUCUGCGCCGCGAGCCUACGGCCUGAUUUCUCCCCCUCCAUUGUUGUAGCUAACACAAAAGGCUACAACUCCAGUGUGGUCAAGGGGCCUGCGCUGAAUUACGCGCCAGGCCAUUCUUUGGGCCAGAGCCUUUGUGGGUUGGGAUGCAUCCCCUCUCCGUGCCAGAACUCCGGGCUGUCACACGCAGGCUGAAGCGCUUCGCAAGCGUGGGCGAGUUGUCUCCCUCCCUCCCUUCGUUACAUCCACCCACCUACCGCCUUUGUUCCUUUCAGCUGGCGGCCAGGCCCUCGUUUGCCUUUUGGCUGUGUUAAAUGGACAGUGUAACAAUGACUUGCUGAGGGAGACGUGCAUGAAGCUUCCACCACUAAACUCCUCAAGGGCAGACAUCUUCUCCCUUUGGUUCACCCAACACUUGAUCCCUGGCACCGAGUAGGAGUUCAAGAAACAUUUGCCAAGUGACUAAGUGAAUGAAUAGCAAAUGUGGAUCAGCCCUUUGAGCUUUGCACAUAUAUAUAUAUAUGUAUGUAUGUAUGUAUAGUCUAAAAUGAAAGUAUAUUGAAUUCUUUCGUAUACCUACCCCCAUACCUAUGAUCCAUAUCUCUAAAACCAAAC